Molecule: long non-coding RNA, 244 nt
Filed under: Homo sapiens (human)
Lineage: Eukaryota; Metazoa; Chordata; Mammalia; Primates; Hominidae
Description: non-protein coding lnc-PYDC1-1:1
Source: RNAcentral
GGAAGGGGAUCCGAGCGGGUUGCCCUGAGGUUGGGGUCUUAAGCACAGGAGGCGGGUCAAGGCAAAAGGAGUAAUGCAACGCCUGUGAAGCCAGCCCCACGCGCGCACCAGUCGCGUAAGACAACAGCAGUGUCUCCACCUCGGGGACCAAGGACGCCUCCGUGCCUCCAGACCCCGCCUCCUCCAGCCCCUGCACCUGUCAUUUAUUCUUCCACUGCCCAAUAAAUAUUCAUGGCAGACUUUA